RNAcentral lists this ribosomal RNA (450 nucleotides) under Triticum aestivum (bread wheat). RNAcentral's name for it is "partial small subunit ribosomal RNA". The record is from RNAcentral. Lineage: Eukaryota; Viridiplantae; Streptophyta; Magnoliopsida; Poales; Poaceae.
AUGAGGUUGCGGUCGACGCUGAGCUUGUUGAGGGUGAGCGUGCCCGUCUUGUCGCUGCAGAGCACGUCCAUGCCGGCCAUCUCCUCGAUGGCCGUCAUGCGCUUGGUGAUGGCGCCCUGCUUCGACAGCCGGUGGGAGCCGAUAGCCAUGGUGACCGACAGCACCGUGGGCAUCGCGAUCGGGAUGCCGCCGAUGAGAAGCACAAGGAGGUUGUCAAUGCCGUCGCGGUACCGGCGGUGCUGGAUGAAGUACAUGACGAUGAUCUCGACGAUCAUGCCGAUGGCGAUGGCGCCGAUGCAGAAGUUACCAAUGGCGCGGAGCACCUUCUGGAAGUGGCCGACCUGGUUUGUGCUGUCGACGAGGUGCGCCGCCUUGCCGAAGAAGGUGUGCACGCCGGUGGCGAUGACGACGGCCUCGAUCUCGCCCUGCUUGCACGUGGACCCCGAGUAG